GACGAACGCUGGCGGCGUGCCUAAUACAUGCAAGUAGAACGCUGAAGGAGGAGCUUGCUCUUCUGGAUGAGUUGCGAACGGGUGAGUAACGCGUAGGUAACCUGCCUGGUAGCGGGGGAUAACUAUUGGAAACGUUAGCUAAUACCGCAUAAUAGUAGAUGUUGCAUGACAUUUGCUUAAAAGGUGCAAUUGCAUCACUACCAGAUGGACCUGCGUUGUAUUAGCUAGUUGGUGAGGUAACGGCUCACCAAGGCAACGAUACAUAGCCGACCUGAGAGGGUGAUCGGCCACACUGGGACUGAGACACGGCCCAGACUCCUACGGGAGGCAGCAGAAGGGAAUCUUCGGCAAUGGACGGAAGUCUGACCGAGCAACGCCGCGUGAGUGAAGAAGGUUUUCGGAUCGUAAAGCUCUGUUGUAAGAGAAGAACGGGUGUGAGAGUGGA
Molecule: ribosomal RNA, 445 nt
Filed under: Streptococcus sp. oral taxon 064
Lineage: Bacteria; Bacillati; Bacillota; Bacilli; Lactobacillales; Streptococcaceae
Description: bacterial SSU rRNA
Rfam family: Bacterial small subunit ribosomal RNA
Source: RNAcentral